UGAACGCUGGCGGCAUGCCUAAGACAUGCAAGUCGUACGAAGUGGCCCAUUGAUGAUUGAGUGCUUGCACAAGAUUUGAUUUGGAUUCCCACUUAGUGGCGCAAGGGUGAGUAACGCGUAGGUUAUCUGCCUUCGAGUUUGGAAUAACAAUUAGAAAUGAUUGCUAAUGCCGGAUUAUAUUUAAGAUGAUACGUUGUCUUAAAUUAAAAGGAGCCUUUAAAGCUUCGCUUGAAGAUGGGCCCGCAUCUGAUUAGCUAGUUGGUGAGAUAACAGCCCACCAAGGCGACGAUCAGUAGCCGACCUGAGAGGGUGAUCGGCCACAUUGGGACUGAGACACGGCCCAAACUCCUACGGGAGGCAGCAGUGGGGAAUAUUGCACAAUGGGGGAAACCCUGAUGCAGCAACGCCGCGUGAAGGAAGACGGUUUUCGGAUUGUAAACUUCUAUCAAUAGGGACGAAGAAAGUGACGGUACCUAAAUAAGAAGCCCCGGCUAACUACGUG
RNAcentral lists this ribosomal RNA (502 nucleotides) under uncultured bacterium. RNAcentral describes it as "bacterial SSU rRNA". It matches the Rfam family "Bacterial small subunit ribosomal RNA", at positions 30 to 507 of the family's 1533-position model. The record is from RNAcentral.